RNAcentral lists this ribosomal RNA (253 nucleotides) under uncultured bacterium. Its description in RNAcentral is "partial 16S ribosomal RNA". It matches the Rfam family "Bacterial small subunit ribosomal RNA", at positions 524 to 776 of the family's 1533-position model. The record is from RNAcentral.
UACGAAGGGGGCUAGCGUUGCUCGGAAUCACUGGGCGUAAAGGGAGCGUAGGCGGCGUGGUAAGUCAGAUGUGAAAUCCCGGGGCUCAACCCCGGAACUGCAUCCGAUACUGCCAUGCUAGAGGAUUGGAGAGGUAGCUGGAAUUCUUGGUGUAGCAGUGAAAUGCGUAGAGAUCAAGAGGAACACUCGUGGCGAAAGCGAGCUACUGGACAAUUCCUGACGCUGAGGCUCGAAGGCUAGGGGAGCAAACGGG